RNAcentral lists this ribosomal RNA (497 nucleotides) under uncultured bacterium. RNAcentral describes it as "partial 16S ribosomal RNA". It matches the Rfam family "Bacterial small subunit ribosomal RNA", at positions 28 to 507 of the family's 1533-position model. The record is from RNAcentral.
GAUGAACGCUGGCGGCGUGCCUAAUACAUGCAAGUCGAGCGAACAGAUGAGGAGCUUGCUCCUCUGACGUUAGCGGCGGACGGGUGAGUAACACGUGGAUACCCUACCUAUAAGACUGGGAUAACUUCGGGAAACCGGAGCUAAUACCGGAUAAUAUAUUGAACCGCAUGGUUCAAUAGUGAAAGACGGUUUUGCUGUCACUUAUAGAUGGAUCCGCGCCGCAUUAGCUAGUUGGUAAGGUAACGGCUUACCAAGGCAACGAUGCGUAGCCGACCUGAGAGGGAGAUCGGCCACACUGGAAAGUAGCACCGGUCCAGACACCGACGGGAGGACACAGUAGGGAAUCUUCCGCAAUGUGCGAAAGCCUAACAGAGCAAAGCCGAGUGAAUGAUGAAGGUCUUAGGAUCGGAAAACUCUGUGAUUAGGGAAGAACAAAGGCGUAAGAAACUAUGCACGUCUUGACGGUACCUAAUCAGAAAGCCACGGCUAACUACGUG